GGGCCCGUAGUUUAGCCAGGCAGAAUGGCGGGCUCCAGACCCGCUGGCCCGGGUUCAAAUCCCGGCGGGCCCACCA
RNAcentral lists this transfer RNA (76 nucleotides) under Thermoprotei archaeon. Its description in RNAcentral is "tRNA-Trp". It matches the Rfam family "tRNA". From Rfam's summary of the family: Transfer RNA (tRNA) molecules are approximately 80 nucleotides in length. The record is from RNAcentral. Lineage: Archaea; Thermoproteati; Thermoproteota; Thermoprotei.